RNAcentral lists this ribosomal RNA (460 nucleotides) under uncultured bacterium. Its description in RNAcentral is "partial 16S ribosomal RNA". It matches the Rfam family "Bacterial small subunit ribosomal RNA", at positions 338 to 795 of the family's 1533-position model. The record is from RNAcentral.
CCUACGGGAGGCAGCAGUGAGGAAUAUUGGUCAAUGGACGCGAGUCUGAACCAGCCAAGUAGCGUGAAGGAUGACUGCCCUACGGGUUGUAAACUUCUUUUAUAUGGGAAUAAAAUGUUCCACGUGUGGGUUUUUGUAUGUACCUUAUGAAUAAGGAUCGGCUAACUCCGUGCCAGCAGCCGCGGUAAUACGGAGGAUCCGAGCGUUAUCCGGAUUUAUUGGGUUUAAAGGGAGCGUAGGUGGAUUGUUAAGUCAGUUGUGAAAGUUUGCGGCUCAACCGUAAAAUUGCAGUUGAUACUGGCAGUCUUGAGUACAGUAGAGGUGGGCGGAAUUCGUGGUGUAGCGGUGAAAUGCUUAGAUAUCACGAAGAACUCCGAUUGCGAAGGCAGCUCACUGAACUGCAACUGACACUGAGGCUCGAAAGUGUGGGUAUCAAACAGGAUUAGAUACCCUUGUAGUC